GCCGCACAUGCCGAAAUGGUUGAGGUACCUGGCUUCCACCCAGGGGUACCGGGUUCGAUUCCCGGGUGCGGCUC
RNAcentral lists this transfer RNA (74 nucleotides) under Actinomadura sp. RB99. RNAcentral describes it as "tRNA-Gly". It matches the Rfam family "tRNA". From Rfam's summary of the family: Transfer RNA (tRNA) molecules are approximately 80 nucleotides in length. Their secondary structure includes four short double-helical elements and three loops (D, anti-codon, and T loops). The record is from RNAcentral. Lineage: Bacteria; Bacillati; Actinomycetota; Actinomycetes; Streptosporangiales; Thermomonosporaceae.